AUUUGUUUAGGGCUUAACUAAGAUUUGUUUAGAAUUGAUUAGGAUUUGCUUAGGAUUUGACUAGGAUUUGAUUAGGAUUUGGUUAGGAUUUAGUUAGAAUUUGUUUAGAGUUUGAUUAAGAUUUAUUUAGAAUUGACUAGGAUUUUGUUAGGAUUUUACUAGAAUUUCGUUAGGAUUUUAUUAGAGUUUGAUUAAAAUUUGUUUAGGAUUUGAUUAGGAUUUGGUUAUGAUUUUUUUAAGAUUUGAUUAGGAUUUGAUUAAGUUUUUUUGGGAUUUGAUUGGAAUUUAUUUAAAAAUUGAUUAGGAUUUUUUAAGAUUUUAUGAGGAUUUGAUUAGGAUUUAAUUAGGAUUUAGUUAGGAUUUAUUUAGAAUUUGAUUAGGAUUUAAUUAAGUUUUUUAUUUUAAUAUUUUAUUAAUAUUUCUAUUUUAGUAUAUUUUUAAAUUCUUCUAUUAUUUCUUUAUGAUUUCUUUAAAGGGUCUUUAGAAAUACUUUGUGUUUCUUAUAUAAUUCCUUUGCAAUUUUGAUUGAAUUUGAUUGAUAUUUGAUUAUAUUUGCUAAUAUUUAAUUAUAAUUUUUUUAAGAAUUUAUUAGAGUUAUUAGGACUUAUUGUUGCAAUUUUCUUUUUAUCUUCCAUAGCCAAGUGUUUGAUGCAUUUUCAAGCCAAACGCCACAUAAUACAACAACGGAUGCUAUGAAGUGAAAGAAUGCUAUGGAAAAAGAGUACAAAUCACUUAUAGACAAUGGAACAUAGGAAUUGAUUCAACUUCCACCAAAUUAAUCU
This 782-nucleotide long non-coding RNA is filed under the name Physcomitrium patens. Its description in RNAcentral is "long non-coding RNA (PPAT_LNC003892)". Lineage: Eukaryota; Viridiplantae; Streptophyta; Bryopsida; Funariales; Funariaceae. The record is from RNAcentral.